UAAUUUAGGGAUGGCACGGCUGAGUAGGUUUUUAGAGGCUCUGGGCAUGUCUGGUGUUGCAGCUCCUAAGGCUGGAUCUUCUAAGGAAAAUGAUUUUGAACAAGUUUCUGCUGCAUGAUGAUGCUGGGUUGUGGGCACUACUUUGAGACAUUGAAGAUCCUCACACUGGCUCCAAGCAAGAGGACAGAUGGCACGUGUGCGUGCGUAAGGCUCUGGAACAGCACUGCUGGUGUGAGGAAAGUGAAGAAAGCCAAACUGAGCUCAUGCUGAUGCUCAGAAAAGGAUCACCAUUUGUUUGGAAACCAUUAAUGUCUCAAACCUCAGAGCAUUGCUUAUGGGUUUGGUUGGUAUUUUGCUUUCCAUGUCUUGUUACAGAGAGGACUUCAGCCACAUGCCCAAGGUUGUGUGAGGACUGCAGAGCAGGUUUAGGGAAUGGAGAUCUGACCUCUUGGCCUAAGCCAGGCCAUCUCUCCUCCUUUUGAGACUGUGUAUAACAGACAAGGAGCUGUAUCUGCCUAUUGGUUAAGAUGUUUUCGGUAAUCUUCACAACUGAAAUGCAUACCUAUUUUGCUAUCAACCACCUCAACCCUUUGCCGAGAGGAUUUUGUUUGUUUUGUUCAUUGCUGCCCAGUGGGAGAGCAGAGUAAUGUGGAGAUGGGGUGGGGGCGAAGUGGGACAUGAAUUCACAAAUUUGGCCUGAAGAAGUUGUGUUUCUUGAUGCACAGGUGCUAACAUUGCUUGAUUGCUUGUCCUUUUUCCAACUUGCUCGUCUCCAUCUCCUUUCCCACACUCUCCACCAGACUUAUGAAGGAGGCUGGACAGUGGACGUCGUUAGCAUCUCAGCCACAUUUCUCAAAGGCAGCAGUAGAAAUGAUCUAAUGCUGACUCUGUUUAAGGCUAAAUUGUGCAUAUUUAUCCUCAGCUGAAAAGGAUCAUUAGAUUAUGCCCCAUGCUCAUAUGAAAUCGAUAGUAACAUGUGCAAUGAGCCUGUCCUCUCUUUUAUGACAUUACAGAAUCAAGUAUUUUACUCAUAAAUAGGGCAAGAUAUGAGGCAGAGUGCAUACUUCCUUGAGCUGGGAGACAUGCACCAUAAAUCAGGAUAUGUGCGCAUAAUUACAAGAUAUCAGAACAAGUCCCAAGGGUAUUUUUAGCAUUGUAAAAUGUUAGAUAGACCUGCUUUCUUGCAGAACAUUAUCCUCCUCAUUUCUCCACUCCUAGGUACCAGGCAGUUUUGUUGGCCAGAUUACUUGACACAGGAGCAGCGUGAUAGAUUACAACUGCAAGAAUAUACUGUGUUUAAUUGUACAAUCAGAGUUUAAAACUUCUGAUUAAAUUGUGCAAAGCUUCCAAACUAAUUGUCUGAAAAUGUCUUCAGGGCUGAACACUCAGCAAACAUUUGGAUCUGAACAUCAAAGACCUGGCUUUUCUACUGGCAUGGAGUAUUUUGGGCAGGUAGCCUGACCUGGGUGAAUGAGUGGCUGUGGGAAAAAAAGAAUAGUCAUUGCUGUGGUUGAAUAUCUGUAUUCUUAAGAAGUGUUUGGACAUUGGAAAUUCAUUUUUUGUACAUGAAGUGUUUGGAAAGAUUUGACAGGAGAGAGGAAGGACAUGUUCUGAGUUUAAAUAUUUAUCAUUUUGUUAAUUCAUGUGUGAACAUGAACUUGUUGGUAAUCAUACCUCAUAUGUUCUUAAGGCCAUUUCCUUUCUGAUCUCUGUUCUCAGGACAGCCUUGGCAUCACUGUAUUUUGGAGAGAUGCCAGGGAUCUCCAUGCAUUUUGUCCUUGUGACAACACUGAGUGUUAGUUCUACCUUCUAGGCUGCCACUGUUGAGGAUCAGCUUGAUGAAAGCCGUAAGUGAAUGCCCAGUGCUCAGGUUCAACAAAUGCCACAGGCUGUUUGACACAAGCAGCAUCUUGGGCAGAGUUCUCAUUUUGAUGCUUGUAAAACAAUGCAAAAUAAACAAAAAGGAGAGAAAGGGAGGGAGCUGAGAUGGAUAGCAAGGUCCUAUCUGUUUGUACUGGCUGCCUGGGUUGCCAUGCCUGAGAGGGCAGGAAGGAGGAGGGUGGAAAACAAACCAAUGCUAAUAUGAAAAAGGGUGAGACCUACCUCAACUAGAGGGAGAGUUGUGCUCUUUUUCUUGUAAGGGAGCCCUCUGUACAGCCCAGGAAUGUGUAUUCCCCAUUGCUGCAGUGUUCAGGCUUAGGUGUGUAGUUCUUAGAGCAGAUCUUAAAACCUGCACUUUAGUCAACACUGAAGCUUACAUCAAAACAGAAGGGAAUUUUAUUUUCUGCUUUGCGUGGUGCUGAAUUUCUAAAAAAAACCACACAAACAAACAAA
This is a non-coding RNA of Anas platyrhynchos (mallard), 2334 nucleotides long. The record is from RefSeq and is a predicted model, not a curated record. Lineage: Eukaryota; Metazoa; Chordata; Aves; Anseriformes; Anatidae.